GCCUGGCUGGCUCAGUCAGUAGAGCAUGUGACUCUUGAUCUCAGGGUCAUGAGUUUGAGCCCCACAUCGGGCA
This 73-nucleotide transfer RNA is filed under the name Ailuropoda melanoleuca (giant panda). It matches the Rfam family "tRNA". Rfam says of the family: Transfer RNA (tRNA) molecules are approximately 80 nucleotides in length. Their secondary structure includes four short double-helical elements and three loops (D, anti-codon, and T loops). Further hydrogen bonds mediate the characteristic L-shaped molecular structure. tRNAs have two regions of fundamental functional importance: the anti-codon, which is responsible for specific mRNA codon recognition, and the 3' end, to which the tRNAs corresponding amino acid is attached (by aminoacyl-tRNA synthetases). tRNAs cope with the degeneracy of the genetic code in two manners: having more than one tRNA (with a specific anti-codon) for a particular amino acid; and 'wobble' base-pairing, i.e. permitting non-standard base-pairing at the 3rd anti-codon position. Lineage: Eukaryota; Metazoa; Chordata; Mammalia; Carnivora; Ursidae. The record is from Rfam by way of RNAcentral.